AGUGAACGCUGGCGGCAGGCCUAAUACAUGCAAGUCGAACGGCAGCACAGCAGAGCUUGCUCUGUGGGUGGCGAGUGGCGGACGGGUGAGGAAUACAUGGGAAUCUGCCCAGUCGUGGGGGAUAACGUAUGGAAACGUACGCUAAUACCGCAUGCGCCCUACGGGGGAAAGCCGGGGACCGCAAGGCCUGGCGCGAUUGGAUGAGCCCAUGUUCGAUUAGCUAGUUGGCGGGGUAAAGGCCCACCAAGGCGACGAUCCGUAGCUGGUCUGAGAGGAUGAUCAGCCACACUGGAACUGAGACACGGUCCAGACUCCUACGGGAGGCAGCAGUAGGGAAUAUUGGACAAUGGGCGCAAGCCUGAUCCAGCCAUGCCGCGUGAGUGAAGAAGGCCCUCGGGUUGUAAAGCUCUUUUGUCCGGAAAGAAAGCACUGGGUUAAUACCCCGGUGUCCUGACGGUACCGGAAGAAUAAGCACCGGCUAACUU
Molecule: ribosomal RNA, 485 nt
Filed under: uncultured bacterium
Lineage: Bacteria
Description: bacterial SSU rRNA
Rfam family: Bacterial small subunit ribosomal RNA
Source: RNAcentral